This 107-nucleotide small nucleolar RNA is filed under the name Gossypium hirsutum (cotton). Its description in RNAcentral is "Plant small nucleolar RNA R71". It matches the Rfam family "Plant small nucleolar RNA R71". Rfam says of the family: R71 is a member of the C/D box family of snoRNAs containing the C (UGAUGA) and D (CUGA) box motifs. Multiple nearly identical copies of this snoRNA have been identified in Arabidopsis, and it is thought to function as a 2'-O-ribose methylation guide for 18S ribosomal RNA. The record is from Rfam by way of RNAcentral. RNAcentral also lists the same sequence under 1 other name. Lineage: Eukaryota; Viridiplantae; Streptophyta; Magnoliopsida; Malvales; Malvaceae.
AAGACAUGAUGAGGACACGUUCUCAAAAGAUCCGUAAAUCUCUCUCAUGCAUCAUAUAAUGUUCCCAAAUCAAUUUCAGCAAAAGAAGAGAUGUCGUUCCUCAAUUU